UAUCAGUUCAAUGCUGUAUAGAUGGUUCUGCUAUCAGUUCUAUACUAUAUAGAUAGUUCAGCUAUAUGUCAGUUCUAUUCUGUAUAGAUUGUUCUGCUAUCAGUUCUAUACUGUAUAGAUGGUUCUGCUAUCAGAUCUAUACUGUAUAGAUGGUUCUGCUCUCAGUUCUAUACUGUAUAGAUGGUUCUGCUAUCAGUUCUAUACUGUAUAGAUGGCUCUGCUGUACGUUCUAUACUGUAUAGAUGGCUAUGCUAUAUGUCAGUUCUAUACUGUAUAGAUGAUUCUGCUAUCAGUUCUAUUCUGUAUAGAUGGUUCUGCUAUAUAUCCGUUCUAUACUGUAUAGAUGGCUCUGCUAUCAGUUCUAUACUGUAUAAAUGGUUCUGCUAUCAGUUCUAAACUGUAUAGAUGGUUCUGCUAUCAGUUCUAUUCUGUAUAGAUGGUUCUGCUAUCAGUUCUAUUCUGUAUAGAUGGUUCUGCUAUCAGUACUAUUCUGUAUAGAUGGUUCUGCUAUCAGUUCUAUACUGUAUAGAUGGUUCUGCUAUAUGUCAGUUCUAUACUGUAUUGAUGGUCCUGCUAUCAGUUCUAUACUGUAUAGAUGGUUCUGCUAUCAGUUCUAUACUGUGUAGAUGGUCCUGCUAUCAGUUCUAUACUGUAUUGAUGGUCCUGCUAUCAGUUCUAUACUGUAUAGAUGGUUCUGCUAUCAGUUCUAUACUGUAUAGAUGGUUCUGCUAUCAGUUCUAUACUGUGUAGAUGGUUCUGCUAUCAGUUCUAUACUGUAUAGAUGGCUCUGCUAUAUGUCAGUUCUAUACUGUAUAGAUUGUUCUGCUAUCAGUUCUAUGCUGUAUAGAUGGUUCUGCUAUAUGUCAGUUCUGUUCUGUAUAGAUGGUUCUGCUAUAUGUCAGUUCUAUACUAUAUAGAUGGUUCUGCUAUCAGUUCUAUACUGUAUAGAUGGUUCUGCUAUAUGUCAGUUCUAUACUGUAUUGAUGGUCCUGCUAUCAGUUCUAUACUGUAUAGAUGGUUCUGCUAUAUGUCAGUUCUGUUCGGUAUAGAUGGUUCUGCUAUAUGUCAGUUCUAUACUGUAUUGAUGGUUCUGCUAUCAUUUCUAUACUGUGUAGAUGGUUCUGCUAUCAGUUCUAUACUGUGUAGAUGGUUCUGCUAUCAGUUCUAUACUGUAUAGAUGGUUCUGCUAUCAGUUCUAUACUGUGUAGAUGGUUCUGCUAUAUGUCAGUUCUUUUCUGUAUAGAUGGUUCUGCUAUAUGUCAGUUCUGUUCUGUAUAGAUGGCUCUGCUAUAUGUGAAUAUGUGAAUAAAAU
This 1312-nucleotide long non-coding RNA is filed under the name Salmo salar (Atlantic salmon). RNAcentral's name for it is "lncRNA (ENSSSAG00000117159.1)". The record is from RNAcentral. Lineage: Eukaryota; Metazoa; Chordata; Actinopteri; Salmoniformes; Salmonidae.